RNAcentral lists this ribosomal RNA (537 nucleotides) under uncultured organism. RNAcentral's name for it is "bacterial SSU rRNA". It matches the Rfam family "Bacterial small subunit ribosomal RNA", at positions 917 to 1470 of the family's 1533-position model. The record is from RNAcentral.
GGGCCCGCACAAGCAGCGGAGCGUGUGCUUUAAUUCGAUGCUACACGAAGAACCUUACCUGGGUUUGACAUGCACGUGCUAGGGAACCGUAAGGGGACCGACCUUCGGGAGCGUGCACAGGUGCUGCAUGGCUGUCGUCAGCUCGUGCCGUGAGGUGUCGGGUUAAGUCCCGUAACGAGCGCAACCCUUGCCCUUAGUUACAAGUGUCUAAGGGGACUGCCCGGGACAACUGGGAGCAAGCUGGGGAUGACGUCAAGUCAGCAUGGCCUUUAUAUCCAGGGCUACACACACGCUACAAUGGCCGGUACAAUAGGUUGCGAAGUCGUGAGGCGGAGCCAAUCCUCAAAGCCGGUCUCAGUUCGAAUUGCAGUCUGCAACUCGACUGCAUGAAGCUGGAGUUGCUAGUAAUCGCAGGUCAGCUAUACUCCGCUGAAUACGUUCCCGGGCCUUGUACACACCGCCCGUCACGUCAUGGAAGCUGGCAACGCCUGAAGCCGGUGAGCUACCCGUAAGGGAGCAGCCGUCGAGGUGGGGCUG